UUAAAAUUAAGCUAUGCAGUCGGAACGUGGGUGAUAACGUCCACGCUCGCGAGGGAAACAACCCAGAUCGUCAGCUAAGGUCCCAAAAUUGUGUUAAGUGAGAAAGGUUGUGAGAUUUCAUAAACAACUAGGAAGUUGGCUUAGAAGCAGCCACCUUUUAAAGAGUGCGUAAUUGCUCACUAGUCAAGAGAUCUUGCGCCAAUAAUGUAACGGGACUCAAACACAAUACCGAAGCUACGGGCACAUUAUGUGCGUUAGGAGAGCGUUUUAAUUUCGUUGAAGUCAGACCGUGAGGACUGGUGGAGAGAUUAAAAGUGAGAAUGCCGGCAUGAGUAACGAUUCGAAGUGAGAAUCUUCGACGCCUAUUGGGAAAGGUUUCCUGGGCAAGGUUCGUCCACCCAGGGUUAGUCAGGGCCUAAGAUGAGGCAGAAAUGCAUAGUCGAUGGACAACAGGUUAAUAUUCCUGUACUUGGUAAAAGAAUGAUGGAGUGACGAAAAAGGAUAGUUCUACCACUUACUGGAUUGUGGGGUAAGCAACAAGAGAGUUAUAUAGGCAAAUCCGUAUAGCAUAAUCUUGAGUUGUGAUGCAUAGUGAAGACUUCGGUCGAGUAACGAAUUGAAUGAUUUCAUGUUUCCAAGAAAAGCUUCUAGUGUUAAUUUUUUAUCAACCUGUACCGAGAACGAACACACGUUCCCAAGAUGAGUAUUCUAAGGCGAGCGAGAAAACCAAUGUUAAGGAACUCUGCAAAAUAACCCCGUAAGUUCGCGAGAAGGGGCGCCUAUUUUUAAUAGGCCACAGAAAAUAGGGGGGGCAACUGUUUAUCAAAAACACAGCUCUCUGCUAAGUUGUAAAACGACGUAUAGAGGGUGAAGCCUGCCCAGUGCCCGAAGGUUAAACGGAGAUGUUAGCUUACGCAAAGCAUUAAAGUGAAGCCCGGGUGAACGGCGGCCGUAACUAUAACGGUCCUAAGGUAGCGAAAUUCCUUGUCAACUAAUUAUUGACCUGCACGAAAGGCGCAAUGAUCUCCCUACUGUCUCAACAUUGGACUCGGUGAAAUUAUGGUACCAGUGAAAACGCUGGUUACCCGCAUCAAGACGACAAGACCCCGUGGAGCUUUACUAUAACUUCGUAUUGAAAAUUGGUUUAGCAUGUGUAGG
This 1158-nucleotide ribosomal RNA is filed under the name Streptococcus suis. RNAcentral describes it as "partial 23S ribosomal RNA". It matches the Rfam family "Bacterial large subunit ribosomal RNA", at positions 965 to 2142 of the family's 2925-position model. Lineage: Bacteria; Bacillati; Bacillota; Bacilli; Lactobacillales; Streptococcaceae. The record is from RNAcentral.